UUCAUUGAUUCAAUUUCCAUU
This 21-nucleotide non-coding RNA is filed under the name Caenorhabditis elegans. The record is from RNAcentral. Lineage: Eukaryota; Metazoa; Nematoda; Chromadorea; Rhabditida; Rhabditidae.